RNAcentral lists this small RNA (654 nucleotides) under Pongo abelii (Sumatran orangutan). RNAcentral describes it as "retained intron". The record is from RNAcentral. Lineage: Eukaryota; Metazoa; Chordata; Mammalia; Primates; Hominidae.
AGGCCUUUCAAGAUCUCUCUUAACUCCCUGUGUUACGGAGAUAUGGACAAAACCAUUAAGGUGGAGUGUUAUGAUUAUGACAAUGAUGGGUCACAUGAUCUCAUUGGAACAUUUCAAACCACCAUGACAAAACUGAAAGAAGCCUCCAGAAGCUCACCUGUAAGUUACAUCCUUGCAUUUGCAUAUACUUUAUAGUUUGGCUGUGUAUUUAUUACUGUAUUUCAUUUUUUUCCCGUAGCAUCAAACGGUUUACUGUGCUUUUAGUCUAUAUUGCAUAAUGCUCCAAAAUGUUUAGUAAUCACAUAAUCCACAAUUCAUACUUGGGGUAUGAAUUUUAUUGAGCAGAACACCACGUAACAGUUACUAAUGCCAGAUGAGGACUCCAACUACAUGGAGGACAGCAAAGAUGAUCACAGUGUCAGUCAUUAGGAAUAGAAGUCCAAUCCUUUUGCCUAUUGUAUCGUGGUAUUGGAGUCAAGGCAAACACAAUGCAGGCAAGCACUAGAGGGAACCACACUUUACUUACAGAGAGAAGAGGCAGAGCAAUAUCAGCUUUAAAAGUAGGCAUUGGUUUCCGUGGCCAGCAGUUCCAUCCAGCAACCAAUGCAGGGCAGUUGGCCCCAGUGUGCUUAUCUAGUGCUGUAGAAGAAUGAC